UAAGGUAUGAAUAUAAGGUGCCCAUCC
This 27-nucleotide unclassified non-coding RNA is filed under the name Mus musculus (house mouse). Its description in RNAcentral is "oocyte_clustered_small_RNA13411". The record is from RNAcentral. Lineage: Eukaryota; Metazoa; Chordata; Mammalia; Rodentia; Muridae.